This 222-nucleotide long non-coding RNA is filed under the name Elaeis guineensis (African oil palm). Its description in RNAcentral is "long non-coding RNA (EGUI_LNC071410)". Lineage: Eukaryota; Viridiplantae; Streptophyta; Magnoliopsida; Arecales; Arecaceae. The record is from RNAcentral.
CUGAGUGGAUACUGGUAGAGGCUAGACACUUACGUGGCUACAUCAGAACCUCAGGCAGUGCUGCGAUCAUCUACAGUGUAAUUAAAUUACCCUUGAGGUAUGUCUAUGUUUCUCAUACUUAUAGAUUUAAUUUUGAAAUUAAAAUAUCAGAUAAUAAAAUUAGAUCUAAUAGACAUCAGACCUGAAAUAGCAUAGGAUAAAAUUUAAAAUUUAUUCCGCCCC